UUUUUUUUUCUCGUUUUCUGAAAAGAAGAGGAGAAAAGAAGAGCUCAUUAUUUUUCACUGUUUGCGAUACUAUAACUUGUAAAUUGCUCACAUUGUCGAGCUUAACUUAAUUACUUAGACAAAUUGAUUUAAGAAGGCGCGCGAGCAACAAUAUUUACUGGCAUCUGCUUCGAGUUUCAAAGAUCAUCGCGUGAUUCCUUACGGAGCUCACGUACGCAUGUUAGCCGACAAUUUCGUAUAAUUAUUUCUUCAAUUACAAAUGCUCCUUCCCGAUCGCUUCCUGCGUCCCCGAGCGUGGCCGAUUCGGUGAAGAUAACGAUAAUGUUCUUACCAUAUACAGUUUAACCACAAAGUCAAAGAAUACGCAUCGAGUUUAGAUUGUACGUAUGUACAUAGGUAUACAUGUUUACAUACAUAUAUACAUGCCUCGCGUAUGUAACAUCGGAAACGUAUCGAUGAAAUUAUUCAAUUUGCCUUCGAAUGAUUCUUAUCUCGCGCGCCGCAUCGAACAUUACUCCGUAACGUAACAACUCGCUUUCGGCGAAUACAUUCGUAUACAUAUGCGUUUAUUACAUAACCGGAUAUGACAUUAUGUAAAAGCGAACGAGUGUCUCUUUUCGCGUGCGUUUUACGAUAGUCCACUGAGCCUCAACAUACUUUCGACAAUCAAAAGCACGUAUUUUCCCUAAGUCGAUCGAGCGUGCAUGCGAUUUGUCAGAAGACAUAGUAGAUACAUUACCUAUAUACAUAUAUUCAUAAAUACGAACAUACGAGAAAUAUUUGAAUAAAACCAUCGACAACUUAGAGGUAUAACGUUGAAAAGAUAAAGAUUUCUUUCUUAUAAGUCCGAUAAAUUCGAUCGGCAAAUUCGCGCGAGAGUCACGCGAGUAAUUAAUUCGCGAACGUAUUCGCGUGUAGGCACAAUUGUUCACCGUAACGAGCGAAAGUUGCAUAACUCAUCGAUACCGCGGUCGACGGACACUCCCCCAUUAUGAAAUUCCAGCUUAAUAGGCUUCCGGCUGAACGUGCGUGCCUGAUCGGACCCAACGGCCUAAAUACCAGCCUAUGCUGCUCUAAUUAUUAUUCCAGUGGUCGCGCUUAACUUUUUCUCAAUCGACUUUUUCAUCAACGAUCCAACUGAGAACCUGCUCAAAAUAUGCGCCUGCCACGAACGAUUCCGUAAGAGUUGACGUUUACUAAACGAUACUGACAGCUGUGCUGGUAGUUCAAGACGAUACUUCCCGCAGCUACUACUAUGCUGAUGUACCUAACAAAUAAGGGGACGCGAUGACAUUAAAGAAAAUAACAAACUCACGAGAGGAAAUAUCCGUCAUUCGUUAUCCUUUAUUUACGUAUCGCUGAAUUCAAAACAACGAAGCAACGAGAUGAGUCGUAAGACAAGAGAGUUGUUGCCGUUCGUUCGACACAUAACGGAGUUACCUAUUCUCCAUGACGAUAAUUAAUUCGAUAAAGACUCGACUUCGAAUGCCAAGGGAUUGCGGUGGUACAUAGCUAACAGUCAAUUAGGGACAACCGCAACGAAUCAAUCGACGGUCGAAGGUAGAAAUGGUAAGGGGUAAGGGAGAAGUAGAAGAAUCGAGAUCGAGAACUCGAUGUUCGUGGGGUCGAUGCUAAUUCCUCGGGUCGACAUCGUGCCCAUGCUCGCGUUCGCCCAUUGGUCCAUACCGGUGGCGGCCCCUUUUGUUCUUUUCACUCAAGAACCGACGAUAUAUGUGGAGCAACCUGGCGACGAUCGUGAUAUGCCAGCCGGCGCCCACGCUCCUGGGCAACUUUAAAAGCGUUAUACCACCUUCGCCGCUAAACCUUCUGGCCCUGACCUGCCUUGAUCUCUCCCCUACCUUCUCGUAAAGCUACGCCCUCUUAUAUUUUCCGCCUUACCGCUUACCGCCCUUCACGUUCUCCAUCAUAACUCUAUAAUCUAUUAUAUAUGAUAUAUGGUCGAACGAGCGCUACUAUUUGGAGAAUCCAUUCUACGUUAGAGCACGACUAUGAUUCUGUAUAACGAGCACGUGCAAAAGGUGGUACGAUUUAAAUAAGGGAGGAGCAUCGUUUUGAUCCUCGAUGAUCAAGUUGUAUGACAUGUAACGAGACGCAGGUACAUAGGUACGUAUGUAUAUAAACGUAAGAUAGACCUGCCCAUAUUGCGCAUUACGCCCGAACUCCCACGCUCGAAAAGAUUGCUAAGCAUCGAUUCGACGAAUGGCGUUUCAUUCACGGUAAGGCCCACCUCCGCUUUCAGCGACGACAGUCGUAGUACGUUGCAACAGGCAAGAAAAGAAGGCCCGAUGGCUGACGAUUGCAUUCGCCAUCCACUGCAAUCUCUCUCCCACUACGAUCAACCUGUCCUCCUACUCUAAUGCCGCUUGUUGGGCCACCUCUUUCCGGGAAGAAACAUCAUCGUCGACCAUUGGAUGCUACGAAAAUCGAGCUACCGAUUGGCCAACAGCCGGUCGUACCUCGUUUAGAAAUCUUGUGACUUUGCGCGAAGAACGCAAGAUUUUAUCUUACGCGAUACGUCCCGAAUGCAGAUUGACUCGGUCUCGUUGUGAAUUCAAAUACGACAGUACAUUUUAUCCUAGGUAUAAAGAACACACACGUUACGUAAGUUAUGUAAAUUUCUCUUCUUCAUUUGAAUGUAAUUGGACGAUUUGAUUGCGUAUUACUAGAUAUUAUAACGUGUACGAAUCUACGAUUAAAUUUUUUCAUCUUGGAAAUAUACCUCACGUUAAAUUGUUUGGAUUUAAAAUCGAAGACAGCAAUAUAUAAUUAUGUCAGGUUGAUAGACCGUUGAAAUUUAUAAUAUCUACGAGUAGAUGGAACUUUAAUGGGGUCUUUUCGUGUUCGUUGAACAUUAGUUCUUGUCAAUUAAACUAACGUUAGAUAAAGCAAUUGACCCCGACGAUCAGAGGGCUUACGAAAAUACUAUAAUCAACGUUGCAAUCCAUUUGUCUAUUCUAGAAAACGCAGAAGUAACCUUUUGUUUGAUCGUUAUUAUGAUACAUUUUGUAAAAUCGAAAGGAGGAAAGAUAUCUGUGCGUGCGAGCACGGCACAUGCACGGUAUAUGCACGAAGGUGUCGCUUUUCAUUGCGGUCAAGCUAAAGUUAUUCGAGGUACGAGGAAGUAUUGAAGUCGAAGUCGACAAGCAGGGAGAUCGAUAGGAACGAACAGGAUUGAUGAGGAGAAAGGUGGUGAGCCGUUGAGCCAAGAGCAGCGUGCCGGUGAACGAGGAACGUCCGCGAAAAAGAACAGGAAUAGGAAUGUCGGUUAAUUUGUAACCACGUUUAUCUAGCACGAUACCAGUGCGUACAUUUUUCUUUCUUGCACUCCAUAAGCAGUCGCACAUACAUACAUAGGCACGCGCGCGAGAAAGAGAGAAAGAAAGAGAGAGAGAGAGAGAGAGAAAGAGAGAAUAAUAAAGAACGAUUACGCGCGAAACGACUUCGAUCAUAUGUAGGUGGUAACUCGAAAAGUUCCUCGUAAUAUCAUUGACUGUGUUCUAAUCGCGAAGCAUUUGUAGUGGAAACAAAAUUAUUACCGAUAAACAAAUUUUCAAUCGAAAAGAAAAAUUAAGAGAUAUAAGAAGUAUACGAUAACGAAAGACAAUAAAACGUUUCUCAGAACGUAACCGGUAUUUUUUAAAAACGAUAAAAUAUUUUCCGGUUUUACCGAUCUCAUUCUUAAAAACCGGUGAGAGAUCGGUUAAGCUAGAUUCUUCUUGCGUGUACGAAAUAGCGCCUUUUUAUGGCACGUUUCUUUAGACAGCAGCAAUACUUCUAGUUCCUAUUUGAGCAGAGCUUAAGAUAGAUUGUACCGGUCGCCGUCUCUGGCGCCAGCACCGUUCGAUUUCCCUCUUAAAGAGCACUUUUUCGUUGAACUGCUUACGUUGACGUACCACUCUCGUGUACGACGGGUAAACGUGAAACGGGCUGUACGCGAUCGCGACACCGGCGAAAGCUGCAACAAACUUCUACUAUACCGGUAUUCAAAGUACCGGUAUAUACAACCUAUGUUUCAGCCGUGACAGGUAUUUACUACUAGCCACGGAAAUACGUUACGUUCGUUCGCGUACUCCACGCGUAUUAGAACCGUUUUUCCAGAAAUUCAAAGAAUGCAUGAAAUCUUCGGUAUGAAACUAACCUCUAAGAAUAGAGAAGGUUCAUUAUAUAAGUAGUGACUUCCUGUAAUCACAUUCCACGCAUUCUGAAAAGUAUCAUUAUCCGACACCUUAAGUAGAAUCUCCUACGUAAGAAUAUCAUUGACUAUGAUUUAAUUUUCUUUGAAAAUGACGAUGAUACGCGUCUAAUUAGGAAGUCCGAAGAAUAACGAAUAUUGUAUUUCAGUUGAGUCUAUAUUUUAUGAAUGAUUAACUUUAUAUCUUCCUGGAAUCUUUGAUGAGUAGAAGAGACAAUGAACGUCUGCUAAAGUAUAGCUAAGUCGACAUUACCUACUUGAAACGAUCCAAGUUCCAAGUACUUUGGAAUUUACUAAAGUAGAUACAGUAGCAAUGUGUUCCAGAAAUGGAAACAAAAUGGAUAGGAAUUGUAUACCCCGAGAUCAAGAAGACUCCCACCUUCGCAUAAGGAGACGACUCCUCUAGGUCUUUCCUUCCUCUAGGACCACAAAACGCGAAACGAAGAAGGAUAAGAAUGGGGUGUGGAGAGAAGAAGAGACGCGUAAGGAAAGCGAAUUUACGAGAUGAUUGUCCGGUUACCCUAUUCAUUCGGUACGGAAUCUCUAAGAGGAUCUCUAUUGUAGAUUAUUGCACCAUUGUCCAUUGUCGCCCCUAAACCCUUUCUUCUAACUUACUCGCUUCGGUCUUUCGUCGACAGCAAAGUAAAAAAAAAAAAAAAGAAAAGAACUUGUCAAGGACGAGGAGAAUCCGUGAUAACAAUUCGAUUAAACGAAAAAAGCUUUUAAGAUGAUUUCUUCUUUCAUACGUUCACUACACAAGAAAUCCUUUUUAAAAUAGAAAACCACACAGUUUUGACACGAUUUGCCAAGUACUUCCGGCGACAUUAACUUUCAAAUUGCGAGCGAUUCGAGGUAGCUUUACACUUGACACUUCUCUCAAGAUAUUCCUGUCGGACGUUCACUCACGCAAGAUGUAUCAAAGAAAAUUAUGGUCCAGCGUCAAGACGUCUACAUUUGCCAAGAGAAAUGUCAGAGGGAAACUUCAUGCACGAAGUGUCAAGUCCAAGCCCGGUUUGGACAAAGAAAAUUACCGCGACUCGAGUGUCAGGACCGUUUAUAUAAACUAAGAAAUGUCAGAGUGAAGAGACACGUAAGAAACUUUGAUAAAGCAUUUGGAAUGUAACCGAAACAUCUUUCGAUGCAAAAGACGGACAACAGUAAGCGAGCAGUAUAAUCCUGCGUACUUCAUUCUCUAUACACGGAUAUAUAUCCAUGGUAAUUCGAGAAACAUAACUCAAGACCCAGUGGAAAGGUGCAUCACGACCACCGGCGUACCAAGUCGGCUUCUCUUUGCUACUUUAGUUGUCCGUACCCCUUUCUCUUUAUGUUCGUCGCGCACGAAGAUCGUCCUUUUCUUCACCUCUUUCACCAAAGAGAAUUCAACCGAAUGUGAUGACUUUUCACAACUGAGUAUAUACCAUCUUCUAGGUAUGCAAGGUAGGCUCACUCGGGUCCAUUCAAACGUUACAAAUCAAUUUCGAUAAAAAUGAGAUGGAAAUUAUUCAGAAUACGAUUGAUGAAACAGCUAUUUGUGCUUCGAAGAUAUUUCAAUUCGUAAAUAUUUAUUUUAAAUAAUUAUCAUAUGAGUAUAUAAAAUUUUCUAAAGACAUUUGAACAUCUUUUAUAAGCGUAAUGAAGUCUUAAUAUAUUCGUAUUCUAAGAAAUAACAUAUAAUAUAUAAUUUAUGUUGCGACAAAUUUACAAGAUCCGAUGACUAAUGCAAAAGAUAAAAUUAUCUGUCAAUAAUUUUUCUAAUGUUUCAGCAUAAGAAAACACGUGUUAUAUUACGAUAUACCUAAUGUGAUAUUACGUGCCUACCCACGUAUGCUAAUAACGGUGUUUCUUUAAUUAAGCAUAAAACAAGUGAAAAAUAAUUAUAGGAAAUGAAAUCCUCUGACAAAUGCAAAACUCUUUCAUUUACGUUUAUCUAAGUAGCGUUCUAACACCAUUUUUUAAAAUGCCUCAAUUAAUAGAAUUGUCGCCUAAAAUAAAUUACCAAACGAUUUCUACCUGCUAAGUUUCACAUAUUUACAUAAAGUCUAGAUAAGAGCUGCAAAUUAUAGCCUCAUUAUAUGGGCAUAAUAAGGGACACCCUCUUCACAAAAACUAAUGAGAAAGUCGCUUACCUUACGAUAUAAUUACACGUAAAUUAUUUUUGUUAUAAUAUUGAAAUUAAAAUUCAUUGUACACAUAUAAAUAGAUCGACAUUAACAUAUAGCCAUAUAUUUGUAUUUAAAUGAAAUUAAAGCGAUUUUAUUAGCAACUGCUUAUCGAAUGGAAAUGUAAUAUGUAUGUAAAUUUGAACAAAAUGAAAGAUAGUAAUGUCGCAUCAGAUAAAUAGAAUAAUGAAUAUAUAUUCGCAAUAACAUAUGAACAAAAAUUUGUGUAUGUCUGUGUGUAUAUAAAAAGAAACUUACCUUAUAGUACCGCUCUGCUUAUGCUUGCCGAUGAAAAAAGUCAUUAUUCCAUCGGGUAUCUGCUUUGCCCACGGUGGUUUUAUCCAGAUCAAACUUUUGAAGUGACCGGCAUAUACUGCUGGCAUAAUCCAAUUUUCGAUACUAAUAUCCCUGUGAUAAUGAAACAAAAGUACAUUUUCAUUUUAUUCAUUGAUUUAUAUAACAUCUAUACAUAUAUUCUCUAUACAUUAAUAAUCAUAAUAAAAUGAGUCUUAUUAAUUUCAAUAUUUCAUUACUGUUUGUAAAAUUAUUCUAAUAAUUCGAACAUUUUCAUCGAUGUUUUAUUAGCGCGAAGAAACUAUGUGAAAUUCCUUUUCUAUGCACGAUGCAAAAACAUACGAAACGUGCUAAUUUUUGUUGAUAUUACACUGACAACCGUUAAAUGCCAGUUUUGGAAUGCACUUCAAAUUAUUUGCAUCUUUGAAUUCAUCGUAUAAUAUUUGUAUUAUAUAUAGAUAUGUAACUACUGUAUAUUAAAGAAAAAUACAAUUUAUUAACAUGUAAUGUGUCUAACGUGAAAAAUUGUCGAAAGUAUCGUCGUACAUACUAUUAAGUUUUAAUUGAAAAUAUCAUCGCUAGAUUAUCUAAAAGUUAUACUAUAAUACUUCAAAUAUUAAAUAACUUUAUAAUAUUAUCAUAAUUAUAAUGCUAAUAAUUAUUUUAUAUAAUAAAUAUUUAAUGUUAAUUAAUGAUAACUAUAAUCUAAUUAUCAUUAAAAUUAAUAUGCAUACCCAAAUAAUUCAUCCUUAUUCCAUACAACAUCAGCUGACAUACACCUUGGUAUAAGCAUAUCUGGAUGAGAAUCAAGAUGAAUAAACGUAUUUCCUUCAAAUGGAAGAUGUUUUGAACCCAAACAUCG
Molecule: long non-coding RNA, 7528 nt
Organism: Vespa velutina
Lineage: Eukaryota; Metazoa; Arthropoda; Insecta; Hymenoptera; Vespidae
Exons: 3
Source: RefSeq, a predicted model, not a curated record